This 3215-nucleotide long non-coding RNA is filed under the name Mus musculus (house mouse). RNAcentral's name for it is "long non-coding RNA chr15:98626728-98629943". The record is from RNAcentral. Lineage: Eukaryota; Metazoa; Chordata; Mammalia; Rodentia; Muridae.
AGAGCUUUGUGACAAGAGAGUACUGUCCUUUCCUGUGUUUGUCCUUCUGUGGCUUGUCUCUUGUUCGGUUUCGGGACAGGGUCUUACUCUGUUGCAGAGGCUGACUUCCCACUCUCAAGCCACUCGAUUGGGCUUCCUAACUGCAGCAGUUACAGGUGAGCACCAUUGCGCCCAAUUUUAUUCUAUUCCUUUAAUUAUCUCCCCACCCCAGUUUUAAUUGUAUAUGUGUUUUGCCUACAUGUUUGUCUGUGUGCUUUGUGCCCACAGAGGCCAGAAGGGGGAGUCAAAUCCCCUAGGACUGGAUUUACAGCAGGUUAAGAGCCUCCAUGUGGGUGCUGAACACCAAACUCAAGUCCUCUGGGAGACUGUCAGCUCUCUCUCUGUCUGUGUGUGUGUGUGUGUGUGUGUGUGUGUGUGUGUGUGUCUGUCUGUCUGUCUGUCUCAUGCUUUAUUUGUUUUUAUUUUAUGUGAAUUGGUGUUUUUCCUGCGUGUGUCUGCGUGAGGGCGUUGGAGCUCCUGAAGCUGGAGAUACAGACAGUUGUGAGCCGCCUCAUGGGUGCUGGAGAUGGAACCCAGGUCCUCUGGAAGAACUCUGAACUGCUGUUCUCUGAACCGCUAAGCCAUCUCUCCAGACCCCCUCUUUUUUUUUUUUUUUAUUUUGAUGGUGUCUCCUGUGGAGCAGGCUGGCCUCUAGCUCCCUGUACAACUGACUGGUGAUGGUUUUGACCUUCGGAUUCUCCUGCCUGUGUCUCCAGAGGGCUGGGGUUACAGGCACGUGCCUCCAUGCUUGGAUUUUUUAGGGCUGAGAAUUGAACCCAGGGCUUCUUGUGUACUAGGUAAGUGUACUUUUGGCUGAGCUACACUCUCAGCCCCAGCCCCCUGCCCCCCGCCUUUUUUAGUAAAAUUAUUAUUAUGUGCCUGUGUGCUUUGCCUGUGUAUCACGUAUACACUUGGUACCGAAAAAAGUCAAAAGGGGGCGUCACAUCCCCUGAAACUGAAGUUGCAGACAGUUGUGAGCUGCCAUUUGGGUGCCAGGAAUCAAACCCAGAUCCUCUGGAAGAGCAAACAGUGCUCUUAACCACUGAGCCAUCUCUCUGCUUGGCCCUUCUUUCCUUUUCCUUUAAAACAAAACAAAACCAAACCACUUUUUUUUUCUUCUUUUUAAAACAUACACUGGUGUGUUGUUUGCAUGUAUAUCAGUGUGAGGGUCCCCUUGAACCGGAAUUACAGAGAGUUGUGAGUUGCUACAUGGGUGCUAGGAACUGAACCCAGGUCCUCUGGAAGAGCAGCAGCCAGUGCUCCUAACCACUGAACUCCAGCCCCCUUCUUUCUAUUUUUUUAAAGAGCAAUUUCUGAGACAAUAAAUACUACACACAAGUAGUAACUCGGAGAGUCAGGCCCUCCCUCCGGUCUUCAGACUCCAAAUGCCAUCCUUCCAAAAUUUUCUGGGCGACCUUUCAGAACCCCGAUGCUUAACUACCCACUCUCCAUGCCACCCCACCCUCCUCCCACACACAGAGUCCUGUGUGUAGGGAGGCACUAGGGCCACCCUCAAUGUCCUGUCACUCAGCUGCUCUCAUGUCAUUCAAACAUCCAAACUUCUGCCUUUGUAACCCCAGAGGCCUAUACGAGUCCAAACCUGCAACUUCCAGCAGCCACUUGGGUCUUCCGUUCCUAACCCCCAGUCCGGUUCAAAGAUGAGUGUCAGCUCUCUAUCCUAAGAGCAGCCUCCUCACCUGGACAUUCUCCCACCUCCUUUCUUCGCAGGAAGGUUCUGUCCAAACCCCACCCUCCACCCCCAUCCAGGUGAGUCUCUCCCCAAUAUCCUUCCCAAGGCGACAAAGCCCCUCACAGCAGUGAGAAGCCACAGAGUGACAGGCAGGCAGUGCUAGUCCUGGCCCAGGAGCCAGCAGCUGUGAGCAGCUAGCACUACGCCCUCUUCAAUAAUUCAUCUUCCAGCAGGCUGCAGGCACCAUGCCCUCAUUCUGAGCCAGAGAUGGCUGCCACAGCUCUGUGGGGUCGGAGAGCGAGGCUGAAAGGAGCGGAGAACUGGAGGAACAAGCCACCGGAGGUGCCCAACCUCCAAGCCCGUGUGCUGCACACGGCCCGCUAGUCCUUGUGAAAAGGGUUUCAGUCUGGGCUGAUACUUGGGGUCCAGACCCGGAAGGAUCUCAGAGAGCCACUGCGCUCAGCUCCCUGCCGAGCAUAUACCAGGCUCAGCCUCAUGCCCUGGCCGAGCCUCCGCAGGCUACCUUUCUAAUGAUGCCCACAGCCCUCUCUCUGUCCCCUGACACGUCUCAGCUGUCCCCGCCUCAGGAGUCCUGCUCUGUUGGAGCUCCCAUUACUUAGAAGUCCCCACAGCUCUUCUUGGCUCUGCCGGUCCACCCCCAUCUCUUCAGCCCCAGCCUCUCUGGCUAAGAGCUGAUGUUUAUAGAGCUUGGAGACUAAACUGUGGGGGUGGAGGACCUGAGCUGACCCCGUGUGUGGCAAGAGGAGGGAUUCAGGAUCGUUAAGUGUGAGGCGCGUGCAGAACAGUUCUUUGUCUAUAGUGUGGAGGGAUGGCGGUAAAGUCUAAGCCACAUCAGGGACUUGGCCUUCUCAGUGUCCCAUCCUUCGGGGGACAGCCUGAAUUCAGUUUCUAUGCUAGCCCUGUUCCUGCUGGAAUCCAUUCUUUACAACUGGCGUUAGAGGGGAAACUGAGAUGAAAGACUAAAGCAAACGCUUACAGGGCACCUAGUCUGCACCCGUACCAGCAGAAGCCAAGAAUUUCUGGCUACUCACUCUCCUCUUUCAAGUGAAGAGGGAUUCCUCAAAUGGUCAAAGCUGUCUGCCUCGGAGUGGGCAAGAAAGAGCUGGGUCUGAAAGCCAUAGUUGACUCCUCGCUCUCUCUCUGGGGGCCCGGCUUCCGGAGAGAAGGGUGCUAUCAUUCUGAGCACUGUCAGCAAGAAACCCUUCAGACAUAUUUAUAGCAAAUGCUGCAUCAGGGGAUGGAGCCUGAGAGAGCCUCAAAGCAUCAAAUAACGCUAUAGGCCAGGAAGAGAGUACUGAUUGCAGCAGGAGAGACUGAGGUUUGAUGUCAGAGGAACUUCCCAAAGUAAUAUUUGGAGUUGACAAUGGGAAUUCCCUGAAGAAGUUACUUCCAAAGAAUUUCCUCAGAGGGGAAAAAGCAUCAUGUUUUGGUCUAAUAAAUACAAUAAAUAAAUAAAAUUAAAUUU